GGGGGGUGCAAGCGUUGUUCGGAAUUAUUGGGCGUAAAGCGCGUGUAGGCGGUUUGUUAAGUCUGUUGUGAAAGCCCUGGGCUCAACCCAGGAAGUGCACUGGAAACUAGCAAACUUGAAUACGGGAGAGGGUAGUGGAAUUCCUGGUGUAGGAGUGAAAUCCGUAGAUAUCAGGAGGAACACCGGUGGCGAAGGCGGCUACCUGGACCGAUAUUGACGCUGAGACGCGAAAGCGUGGGUAGCAAACAGGAUUAGAUACCCUGGUAGUCCACGCCGUAAACGAUGAGUACUAGGUGUUGCGGGUAUUGACCCCUGCAGUGCCGCAGCUAACGCAUUAAGUACUCCGCCUGGGAAGUACGGUCGCAAGACUA
Molecule: ribosomal RNA, 371 nt
Filed under: uncultured bacterium
Lineage: Bacteria
Description: bacterial SSU rRNA
Rfam family: Bacterial small subunit ribosomal RNA
Source: RNAcentral